RNAcentral lists this long non-coding RNA (644 nucleotides) under Aotus nancymaae (Ma's night monkey). Its description in RNAcentral is "lncRNA (ENSANAG00000039571.1)". The record is from RNAcentral. Lineage: Eukaryota; Metazoa; Chordata; Mammalia; Primates; Aotidae.
GAGGCAGAGGACAGGCUGGGGUACCCUAACGGGUCCGCUCCUUCCCCCGCCCCAGGCACUGGGCCUCUUUGGUGGCACCCUGGGUGGCAGGCAAGCCUGGAAAUCAAGUGCACGGGACCUGGAAAGGAGAACCGGGAGAGUUAUGGGACUUAUGAAGGAAGAAGAGAAAGAGAAUCACUUGGAUGGGAAAAGUUAACUGGAUUGUUCCCACCUGCAUGGAUCAUCCAGGAUGAAGCUGUGCCACCCGGUAGGAAUUAGAAGAUCAUGUCCCAGAAGUGAACAUUGGGUGCAGACUUCUCAGGCACUGAGAUCUGUGGAGAGAAGCUGAAGCUCACACAGCUGGUAUGUGGUGGACCCAGAAUGGAAACCUGGUCUGGGCUCGCAAGUCUGCCUCCUCAGGCUGAACCUAAACUACUUAGGUCCUGAAUGGUAUCUUGUCCACCUCCUCCAGGGAAGGCAGGUUGUGGAAACAUCUUGGGCUGUCUGGGAACUCCCCAACCAGUCCUCAAAUCUGUAUAGAUCUUCUUGCUCUAUCUGGCUAGUGUGUAUAUGAUGGGGGCUGGGGGAGGAUAGCAUUGGAGGGCUCAACCUAGCACCUCGCACUUAAGUGUUCAGUGAACGUGUUUUGAAUGAAUGUAUGAAUU